CAUGCGUGUUCAGGCAGAAGCUGAAUAAAGGCCAAGCCGCAAACUGCUAAUUACAUCAAUCGUAUAGAAUUAAAUUCUUCUGGAUAACUGUCGUCGUUUUAAAUCUAAUAUGCGCAUCAUUUUUUCGACGCAGCACAGCUGUUAGAACCAAGAUGAGCAGACGACCUUCGUAAGAGCUGUUAUUUACGAAUCUGAACGAUGUUGUAGGUCAUCAAAUGGUCACGUGCCGGCGGCAUGCCUUAUAAAUGUCUGCCUGAUCAACUCUGCUUGGUAAGACCUACUAAUACCAUUGUGAUAGCCGGUAACGAAGGGGGGGUACAACUCAAGAGAAGGAGCCUGAGAAUCGGUUGCCACGUACAUAAGACAACAG
RNAcentral lists this non-coding RNA (370 nucleotides) under Soboliphyme baturini. The record is from Rfam by way of RNAcentral. Lineage: Eukaryota; Metazoa; Nematoda; Enoplea; Dioctophymatida; Soboliphymatidae.